RNAcentral lists this ribosomal RNA (154 nucleotides) under uncultured bacterium. RNAcentral's name for it is "partial 16S ribosomal RNA". It matches the Rfam family "Bacterial small subunit ribosomal RNA", at positions 355 to 504 of the family's 1533-position model. The record is from RNAcentral.
UGGGGAAUAUUGGACAAUGGGCGCAAGCCUGAUCCAGCCAUGCCGCGUGAGUGAUGAAGGCCUUAGGGUUGUAAAGCUCUUUUAGUGGGGACAAGCCACGGGUUAAUACCCGGUGGUCUUGAUUUAACCCAAAGAAAAAGCACCGGCUAACUCU